GUUCUGUGUUGUUUGUUCACAAAUCACUAACUAAACAAACCAGUUUUCACGGUCAGUAACCCAUACCCCCAUAUUCCUCAUUCAAUACUCAACAAUUCAUUAAAACAAUGUUCAAUUAAGCCACACAAAACGAUGGAUAUCGUCGCCCUCUGUUUUCCAGCGAUACCCAUUUUGUUUUCCGGUGAUACCCAUUAAUCCACACAAAAAAAAUAGCUAAUCAAGGAUAUCGGCCCUCCGUUUUCCGGCGAUACCCAUUUGCAGAAAGAUUGCCGGAAACUGCCGUUAACCUGCAACCAAUCAUACCGUCGAUUCAGCACCUAAAAACGACAAUUGUAUAUCCUAGAUGGUCGCCCUCGUUUAAUUUGAUGGUCGCCCUCCGGUGGAAGAUCGAAGGCGGUGGUUGGUGGUGGUUCCGUCGCUGGCGAUGGAUUAUUUCCGGCAGAAAUAAGACUCACGACUCAAAGUCACUGAGAUUUUAAACAAAAGGACCGAUUGGUUGUGGCAGAUCCUUGAGUUGAGAUUGGCAUAUGCCUAAAGAUUGUGGUGGAGAGUAGGCAGUGGUGAGCGGUUAAUGGUGUGGGUGGUUUGAAGGAGAGUGUAGGACGACGGGAAAUAAAAGAGUGAUGAAAAAUGACAUUUUUGCCCUCACAUGAGGUGUAUGUGACUUCACUUAACGCUGAAAAUAAAUGGGGUUAGUGCCAAAGGACCGAGGGUGAAAUGGUUAUAAGAAAAAAAAAGGAUUGUGACUGUAAUUAUUGAAGUUAAAGGACAUCCAUU
RNAcentral lists this long non-coding RNA (777 nucleotides) under Helianthus annuus (common sunflower). RNAcentral's name for it is "hypothetical non coding rna". The record is from RNAcentral. Lineage: Eukaryota; Viridiplantae; Streptophyta; Magnoliopsida; Asterales; Asteraceae.